GGCGGCGUGCUUAACACAUGCAAGUCGAACGAAGCACCUCUAAUCGAAGAUUGAGAAGCUUGCUUUGAUUGAUUCACCUUGAGGUGACUGGGUGGCGGACGGGUGAGUAACGCGUGGGUAACCUACCUAUACAGGGGGAUAACAGUUGGAAACGACUGCUAAUACCGCAUAAGCGCACAGGACCGCAUGGUCUAGUGUGAAAAACUCCGGUGGUAUAGGAUGGACCCGCGUCUGAUUAGCUAGUUGGUGAGGUAACGGCUCACCAAGGCGACGAUCAGUAGCCGACCUGAGAGGGUGACCGGCCACAUUGGGACUGAGACACGGCCCAAACUCCUACGGGAGGCAGCAGUGGGGAAUAUUGCACAAUGGGCGAAAGCCUGAUGCAAGCGACGCCGCGUGAACGAAGAAGUAUUUCGGUAUGUAAAGUUCUAUCAGCAGGGAAGAAAAAUGACGGUACCUGACUAAGAAGCUCCGGCUAAAUACGUGCCAGCAGCUGC
This 497-nucleotide ribosomal RNA is filed under the name uncultured bacterium. RNAcentral describes it as "bacterial SSU rRNA". It matches the Rfam family "Bacterial small subunit ribosomal RNA", at positions 38 to 518 of the family's 1533-position model. The record is from RNAcentral.